UGGGGAAUUUGGACAAUGGGCGGAAGCCUGAUCCAGCAAUGCCGCGUGUGUGAAGAAGGCCUUCGGGUUGUAAAGCACUUUUGUCCGGAAAGAAAUCCUCUGGGUUAAUACCUCGGGGGAGUGACGGUACCGGAAGAAUAAGCACCGGCUAACUACGUGCCAGCAGCCGCGGUAAUACGUAGGGUGCAAGCGUUAAUCGGAAUUACUGGGCGUAAAGCGUGCGCAGGCGGUUUUGUAAGACGGAUGUGAAAUCCCCGGGCUUAACCUGGGAACUGCAUUCGUGACUGCAAGGCUAGAGUAUGGCAGAGGGGGGUAGAAUUCCACGUGUAGCAGUGAAAUGCGUAGAGAUGUGGAGGAAUACCGAUGGCGAAGGCAGCCCCCU
This 382-nucleotide ribosomal RNA is filed under the name uncultured bacterium. Its description in RNAcentral is "partial 16S ribosomal RNA". It matches the Rfam family "Bacterial small subunit ribosomal RNA", at positions 356 to 730 of the family's 1533-position model. The record is from RNAcentral.